UACGGAGGGUGCAAGCAUUGAUCGGAAUUACUGGGCGUAAAGGGCGCGUAGGCGGCUGUAAAAGUCAGGUGUGAAAUUCCGGGGCUCAACCCCGGAGCUGCACUUGAAACUCUACAGCUAGAGUACAGUUAGGGAAAACGGAAUUCCACGUGUAGCGGUGAAAUGCGUAGAUAUGUGGAAGAACACCGGUGGUGAAGACGGUUUUCUGGGCUGUAACUGACGCUGAGGCGCGAAAGCUAGGGGAGCAAACAGG
RNAcentral lists this ribosomal RNA (253 nucleotides) under uncultured bacterium. RNAcentral describes it as "partial 16S ribosomal RNA". It matches the Rfam family "Bacterial small subunit ribosomal RNA", at positions 524 to 776 of the family's 1533-position model. The record is from RNAcentral.